GGGGGCUUGUGUGUGCAGGAUAUGCACGAGAAAAGUUUUCUGUCUACGCACUAGAAACAUCAGGGAAGCAACGCCUUUUCACCAUACAUAAUGUGGAAGAGUGAACGGUAAAUGGUUAAUCUUACUGGGAUCGCGCCUCAUUGACCGGCUCAUAUGAAGAGGGCAUUGAGAGACCUGGAAGGGUCUGCUGUUGGAGACAUUGAGGAAAACGAAGAGUCUUGCCAACUUGAGUCCGAUGCUGGUCCGUGCUUCCAGCUUUUACAUCCGUUCUUCUAUAGCCAAACCUCGAUGACCUGUGAACGAUUAAAUUAUGGUGGUUGUCUUGGAAACAAUAAUAACUUUAUGACGUAACGGGACUGUUUACAGACUUGCCGAACUGAAGCUGCUUGCAGGUUGCCCAUAGAAACUGGCUCUGCAGAAAGAGCAUUGACUUCUGGGCGUUGACUCCAACAUGGGCAGGUGAAUCCGUUUCAUGUACGGUGGCUGUGAAGGAAACGGGAACAAGUUCUAUACAGAGAAGUAGAGUGUGGAGUACUGCGACCCCAUCCCAGAAGGUGAUGAAUGUUCCGUAUGGUCUCUAGUUCCCAUGGACUCCAGCUGAUGGUGGCUUUGAGCUCAUUUACCUGGUUAUUUCAGCUCCACGGGGUUGAAUGUGGUCAAACCCGGGAUUUCUAGCCACUGACCCAUCACUGGCGUAUUUUCAUAUAUUUAUAUAGCUUGCAGCGUGGAAACCAGCCCUAGACCCAUCUUGUCCUUGUCAUUCAGGAUGCCUGUCUGAGCUCUUCCAAUGUGUCUGCAUUUGGCCCAUUACCCUCUAACUUUUCCUGUCCAUAUACUCAGUAAAUGUAUUUUAAGCAUUGUAGUUACCCACCUCUAUCACCUCCCCUGGCAGCUUAUUUACAGAUCCACCACCUUCUGUGUGAGAAAUUUGCCCUCAGAUCCUUUAAAUCUUUCCUUUCUCCUUAAAUCUAUACUCUCUAGUUUUAGGCUCCCCCACCCAGGGGUUAAAAAAGAAACUGUGAAUAUCUACCCCUUCUGUACCCCUCAUUAUUCUUAUAAACCUCUGUUAAGUCACUCUUUAGCCUCCAGGCUUUAACAGUCCCAAGCUAUUCAGUCUUUCCCUAUAACUCCAGCCCUCCAAUCCCGGAAAACAUCCUGGUGAAUCUUUCCCGUACUGUUUCCAGCUUACUGACAUCCUUAUUAUAGUCUAAUAGCUAAAGAUGCACACAAUAUCCCUGGUGUGGCUGAACCAAUGCUUUAUGUAACUCUAACAUGACUCAGCCAAUGAGAGCAUGUGUGUCACAUGCCUUCUUCACCAUCCUGUUUACCUGCAUCACCACUUCUGGCAAACUAUGUACCUGUGCCCUUGGUCACUUGUUGGUCUUCCAGCACAGCUAGGUGCUACCGAAUGGCACAUUCCAGCUAACUGCGGUACAUGCUGAGAGAUGCACUGAAGGUCUGGCCAAAGCAAAGGCUUUUUUGGGAAGGACAACAGUUGAGUUCAUGUGAACAUAAUAACAUAAGAAAUAAGAGCAGGAGUUGGGCAUCUGGCUUGUCAAGCCUGCUCCGCCAUUCUAUAACAUCAAGUCUGAUCUGGCCAUGGACUCAUCUCCACUUAACUGCAUUUUCCCCAUAACUCUUGAUACCCCUGCUAUGCAAAAAUCCAUCAGCCUUGUCUUAAAAAUAUUUACUGAGGUAGCCUCUGCUGCUUCACUGGGCAGAGAAUUCCACAGAUUCACCACUCUUUGGUUCCUUCUCAUAUCCUUCCUAAGUCUAUUCUCUAAAUCUUGAGGCUAUGUCCUCUAGUUCUAGUGUCACCUACUUGUGCAAACAACUUCCCUGCCUCUAUCUUAUCUAUACCUUAAAAAUAUAUUUAUAUAUCUUUUACAUUUUCUAUAAGAUGUCCUCUCACCCUUCUGAAUUCCGGUGAGUACAGUCCGAGGUGACUCAAUCUCUUCUCAUAGACUAACCUGCUCAUCUCUGGGAUCAGCCUGGUGAACCUCCACUGCACCACCUCCAAAGCCAGUAUAUCCUUCCUCAAGUAAGGAGACCAGAACUGUAGACAGUACUCCAGAUGCGGCCUCACCCGUACCCUGUAGAGUCCCUGCUCUUAAAUUCGAUUCCUUUAACAAUGAAGGACAACAUUCCAUUUGUCUCCUUGAUAGCCUGAAGCACCUGCAAACCAACCUUUUGUGGUUCAUGCACAAGCACUCCCAAAUCCCUCUGCACAGCAGCAUGCUGCAAUCUUUUACCAUUUAAAUAAUAAUCUGAUCUUCCAUGUUUCCUUCCAGAGUGGAUGCCCUCGCAUUUACCAACUUUGUACUCUAUCUGUCCACUCACUUAACCAGUCUAUAUGUCUCGACAGACUCUCCGCAUCUUCUGUACAAUUUGCUUUUCCACUCAAUUUAGUAUCAUCAGCAAACUUAGAUACACUACACAAGGUCCCCUCUUCCAGAUCGUUAAUGCGUAUUGUGAACACCUACUGAACAAGAUUCUUCCGCUAGUGUACAUAGAAGGGCUGAAUGGCUGGGGCAGAGUCUCAAACAUUGAACGAAUGUAUUAUCAGCCCCAGGGGAUCACACGAGUGACAAUGGUGAUGUUGCUUUAAAAAUAUCAAUUAACACUACUGAAUGCAAUGACCUUCAAUGAAAUAUAUUUUGCAUUGUUUUGUUCUUGGUAUAUCUAUUAUGAAUGAAGGUGGAUUUUGAAAUGAGUAAAAGUAAUUUGAGACAGAGGUCACUCAGUAUCAUUGGAUGGAAUGAGCUCCACAGAGAGCCAAGAGAUAUUCACAACGAGAGAGAACCCUUCAAGGUGUCACACUGUUGUGUCCAGCCUGUGAUGACCCCAAAGGUUGUUUUGAAGACCUGGAGUUACACACUGACUUCGGUUCUUUGUGGGAAUUGGACCCAGUCUCAGGGUUUCUUGACUGGCCAUUAUUCAAUAUGCCAAGAAUGCAGAGUAAGAGAUUAUCUCACCUUUGAAGUUCCGGGAUCUCGUGGUCUGCAUCCCGGCAGGAAAUCAGUGUGUCGCAGUGGAUGGAAGAUCUCUGGCUGUGUGCCCAGAGUCCCGAGAUCUUUGGGCACAGAACUUAGAAAAAGCAAUGCAGCGGACUUUUAACAUCAUAAAUCAACGAGUUCUUUGUUAUGAAACGGAGACACCUCUUUCUCUCUUAUUAGCGAGGGAGAGAGUCUGUGGUAUGUCGGAGACUGGGUGAAUGAGUAGUCUUUGGGGUACUGCAAGUCUGUGUCUUUGCUGUUGCUUUGAUGCAUGCUUGAGUGCUUGGUGGCUGUGCUGAUGCUUAUUUGCUAGUGGAGGAGGGUAAUUGUUGCUUUGCUGCUGCUUAUGCAUGGGAGGGACUUUUGUGUUCUGUUAGGGGUCACCCUAGUUUAAAAAGGGAUCCAGAAUAGACUCUAUGAACUGUGCUGAUAUUAAGAGAGAGAGAGAGGGAGGCGUCCAGCACAGUGAGAGAGAGAGCGACAGCAACUGCUCGGAAGAUUGAUGUAAUGGUUCUCUGCCAGCUUGUUUACCUUUUCCCCUAGGUCACUUGCCUGCUUGUAGAGUUUCUGCAGGAAGUGAAAGGCGGAGAAGGAUGAUCGACAGUUGGUGUCCUACAUGGAGAGAUAAAAGCCAGUACCGCCAUAACACACUGAGACACACCACAAGGCACACAGUGCAGACACUGAUUGAGCUUUGUUGCACCCACAUGAAGGUGGGGUUUUUGGAGGAUCAAUUUGUGGAAAUCGAUCAGUGGCUCACAGUGUGAAAAUCUGCGACCAGUGGGGAAUUAUUUGUGAGUCCAUCCUUGCCUGUGUGAUAAUUCCAUCAGUGAAGAAUGGUUGUACGUGCUAUGGUCAUAGUCGGUGACGACAACAGGAUUUCGGAAGACAAUGGGAAGAUCGACAGUGACAGUCUCAGUCUCUCUCUCUCUCUCUCUCUCUCUCUCUCUCUCGUUACUCAACGAACGACCUCAAACUGAGCUGAACUCUCUUCAUCACAUCGUAAGACUGUACCCAUUUACCCCUAGGUUUGAUACAGCCUAGUUUUGUUUCUAUUUCCACACAUAUAUUCAUCUAUAUCAUUGCUAACCUGGUCAACGUAUUUGC
Hypanus sabinus (Atlantic stingray) is the source of this 4103-nucleotide long non-coding RNA. RefSeq lists it as uncharacterized. The record is from RefSeq and is a predicted model, not a curated record. NCBI's taxonomy places the organism in Eukaryota, Metazoa, Chordata, Chondrichthyes, Myliobatiformes, Dasyatidae. The transcript has 6 exons.